CCUACGGGAGGCUGCAGUGAGGAAUAUUGGUCAAUGGUCGGGAGACUGAACCAGCCAAGCCGCGUGAGGGAUGAAGGUACAGAGUAUCGUAAACCUCUUUUGUCAGGGAACAAAGGCGGGGACGUGUCCCCGGAUGAGUGUACCUGAAGAAAAAGCAUCGGCUAACUCCGUGCCAGCAGCCGCGGUAAUACGGAGGAUGCGAGGGUUAGCCGGAUUUAUUGGGGUUAAAGGGUGCGCAGGCGGACUGUUAAGUCAGCGGGAAAAGCCCGGGGCUCAACCCCGGCCCGCCGUUGAAACUGGCAGUCUCGAGUUGGAGAGAAGUAUGCGGAAUGCGCGGUGUAGCGGUGAAAUGCAUAGAUAUCGCGCAGAACUCCGAUUGCGAAGGCAGCAUGCCGGCUCCACACUGACGCUGAGGCACGAAAGCGUGGGUAUCGAACAGGAUUAGAUACCCCUGUAGUC
RNAcentral lists this ribosomal RNA (459 nucleotides) under uncultured bacterium. RNAcentral's name for it is "partial 16S ribosomal RNA". It matches the Rfam family "Bacterial small subunit ribosomal RNA", at positions 338 to 795 of the family's 1533-position model. The record is from RNAcentral.